GACGAACGCUGGCGGCGUGCUUAACACAUGCAAGUCGAACGGAAAGGCCCUGCUUUUGUGGGGUGCUCGAGUGGCGAAAGGGUGAGUAACACGUGAGUAACCUGCCCUUGACUUUGGGAUAACUUCAGGAAACUGGGGCUAAUACCGGCUAGGAGCUCCUGCUGCAUGGUGGGGGUUGGAUAGUUUCGGCGGUUGGGGAUGGACUCGCGGCUUAUCAGCUUGUUGGUGGGGUAGUGGCUUACCAAGGCUUUGACGGGUAGCCGGCCUGAGAGGGUGACCGGCCACAUUGGGACUGAGAUACGGCCCAGACUCCUACGGGAGGCAGCAGUGGGGAAUAUUGCACAAUGGGCGGAAGCCUGAUGCAGCAACGCCGCGUGCGGGAUGACGGCCUUCGGGUUGUAAACCGCUUUCGCCUGUGACGAAGCGUGAGUGACGGUAAUGGGUAAAGAAGCACCGGCUAACUACGUG
Molecule: ribosomal RNA, 468 nt
Filed under: uncultured bacterium
Lineage: Bacteria
Description: partial 16S ribosomal RNA
Rfam family: Bacterial small subunit ribosomal RNA
Source: RNAcentral